Molecule: non-coding RNA, 204 nt
Organism: Paramuricea clavata
Lineage: Eukaryota; Metazoa; Cnidaria; Anthozoa; Malacalcyonacea; Plexauridae
Source: the annotation of a GenBank genome assembly
CUAAAAAGUUAACUAUAGUUAGUGGAAACGUCAUCCAAUAAGAAGCGCGUAUUUGAGAGUUAUAAUCACUAUUUAACUAUAAAAUAGUGAUUAAAAAAGUGAUUAAGAGUUUUGUACAACCGGCCCCAGGCUUUUAGCUGUAGGAGCAAAAAAAAGAGCAAAUCAAGUCCGAUAAAAUUUGUUUGUCGAAAUUGCAUAUUAAUU